AUACGGAGGAUCCGAGCGUUAUCCGGAUUUAUUGGGUUUAAAGGGAGCGUAGGUGGAUUGUUAAGUCAGCUGUGAAAGUUUGCGGCUCAACCGUAAAAUUGCAGUUGAUACUGGUCGUCUUGAGUGCAGUAGAGGUAGGCGGAAUUCGUGGUGUAGCGGUGAAAUGCUUAGAUAUCACGAAGAACACCGAUUGCGAAGGCAGCUUACUGGACUGUAACUGACGCUGAUGCUCGAAAGUGUGGGUAUCAAACAGGAUUAGAUACCCUGGUAGUCCACACAGUAAACGAUGAAUACUCGCUGUUUGCGAUAUACGGCAAGCGGCCAAGCGAAAGCAUUAAGUAUUCCACCUGGGGAGUACGCCGGCAACGGUGAAACUCAAAUGAAUUGGCGGGG
This 393-nucleotide ribosomal RNA is filed under the name uncultured bacterium. RNAcentral describes it as "partial 16S ribosomal RNA". It matches the Rfam family "Bacterial small subunit ribosomal RNA", at positions 523 to 918 of the family's 1533-position model. The record is from RNAcentral.